Pollicipes pollicipes is the source of this 243-nucleotide long non-coding RNA. RefSeq lists it as uncharacterized. The transcript is spliced from 3 exons. Lineage: Eukaryota; Metazoa; Arthropoda; Thecostraca; Pollicipedomorpha; Pollicipedidae. The record is from RefSeq and is a predicted model, not a curated record.
CGGUGUUCAGUCCCGGCCGGAAACGGAAGCAGCCAACAUGAGGCGAAAUCGGUCGGCACUAGCAGGCGUUCUGCUGACCUGUCUCCACCUCAGCUGCCAGGAGAGCGCAGAACGAGGGCCAUUCCACGGCUUCCUGCCGCAGUACAAGCUCAGGGCCAACGCCCCGACAGGGGACGACCACCCGAACGACGACCAACCUAACCUAACCUAACCUAACCUAACCUAACCUAACCUAACCUAACC